ACGGAGGGUGCGAGCGUUAAUCGGAAUCACUGGGCGUAAAGCGCACGUAGGCGGUGUCGUAAGUCGGAUGUGAAAGCCCUCGGCUCAACCGGGGAACUGCAUUCGAUACUGCGACGCUUGAGUGCCGUAGAGGGUGGCGGAAUGCGAGGUGUAGGGGUGAAAUGCGUAGAUAUCUGAAGGAACACCAGUGGCGAAGGCGGCCACCUAACCUGUAACUGACGCUGAGGUGCGAAAGCGUGGGGAUCAAACAG
Molecule: ribosomal RNA, 251 nt
Filed under: uncultured prokaryote
Description: partial 16S rRNA
Rfam family: Bacterial small subunit ribosomal RNA
Source: RNAcentral